CGUAGGGCGCGAGCGUUGUCCGGAUUUAUUGGGCGUAAAGAGCUCGUAGGCGGCUUGUCGCGUCGACUGUGAAAUCUCAGGGCUCAACUCUGACAUUGCAGUCGAUACGGGCAGGCUAGAGUUCGGUAGGGGAGACUGGAAUUCCUGGUGUAGCGGUGAAAUGCGCAGAUAUCAGGAGGAACACCGGUGGCGAAGGCGGGUCUCUGGGCCGAUACUGACGCUGAGGAGCGAAAGCGUGGGGAGCGAACAGGAUUAGAUACCCUGGUAGUCCACGCUGUAAACGUUGGGCGCUAGGUGUGGGGGGCCUCUCCGGUUUCCUGCGCCGCAGCUAACGCAUUAAGCGCCCCGCCUGGGGAGUACGGCCGCAAGGCUA
Molecule: ribosomal RNA, 373 nt
Filed under: uncultured organism
Description: bacterial SSU rRNA
Rfam family: Bacterial small subunit ribosomal RNA
Source: RNAcentral